Molecule: ribosomal RNA, 454 nt
Filed under: uncultured bacterium
Lineage: Bacteria
Description: partial 16S ribosomal RNA
Rfam family: Bacterial small subunit ribosomal RNA
Source: RNAcentral
GAUGAACGCUGACAGAAUGCUUAACACAUGCAAGUCUACUUGAACUUCGGUUUGGGUGGCGGACGGGUGAGUAACGCGUAAAGAACUUGCCUCACAGUUAGGGACAACAUUUGGAAACGAAUGCUAAUACCUGAUAUUAUGAUUUUAGGGCAUCCUAGGAUUAUGAAAGCUAUAUGUGCUGUGAGAGAGCGUUGCGUCCCAUUAGCUAGUUGGAGAGGUAACGGCUCACCAAGGCGAUGAUGGGUAGCCGGCCUGAGAGGGUGAACGGCCACAAGGGGACUGAGACACGGCCCUUACUCCUACGGGAGGCAGCAGUGGGGAAUAUUGGACAAUGGACCAAAAGUCUGAUCCAGCAAUUCUGUGUGCACGAUGACGUUUUUCGGAAUGUAAAGUGCUUUCAGUUGGGAAGAAAAAAAUGACGGUACCAACAGAAGAAGUGACGGCUAAAUACGUG